RNAcentral lists this long non-coding RNA (222 nucleotides) under Elaeis guineensis (African oil palm). Its description in RNAcentral is "long non-coding RNA (EGUI_LNC080234)". Lineage: Eukaryota; Viridiplantae; Streptophyta; Magnoliopsida; Arecales; Arecaceae. The record is from RNAcentral.
CAUCCUCAAGUCUUAAGAUAACCUAGACUUGACUUCUUAUCAUACCAUAUUUUAUAUGGUGUGGUAGGAAUAGAUUUUGAUAAAAUCCUAUUUAAUAUGUGAAUUAUAGUUAAUAAGAUAUGUCUCUAAAGAUAUAAGGAUAAAUUAGUGAAGCUCAUCAUGGACUUAACCAUAUCUAAUAGGGUCCUUUUUCUCCUUUCGGAUAUCCCGUUGAGCUGAGGU